RNAcentral lists this ribosomal RNA (334 nucleotides) under Ensifer sp. ENS01. Its description in RNAcentral is "partial 23S ribosomal RNA". It matches the Rfam family "Bacterial large subunit ribosomal RNA", at positions 1 to 284 of the family's 2925-position model. Lineage: Bacteria; Pseudomonadati; Pseudomonadota; Alphaproteobacteria; Hyphomicrobiales; Rhizobiaceae. The record is from RNAcentral.
GAUCAAGUGUCAAAAGGGCAUUUGGUGGAUGCCUUGGCAUGCACAGGCGAUGAAGGACGUGAUACGCUGCGAUAAGCCGUGGGGAGCUGCGAAUAAGCUUUGAUCCAUGGAUCUCCGAAUGGGGGAACCCACCUUAAAUGCUUGGAAAAUUUAAGUCGUGCGUAAGUACGGCUUAGGUUUCCAAGCAUUGUUUAAAGGUAUCUUAUCCUGAAUACAUAGGGGUAAGAAGCGAACGCAGGGAACUGAAACAUCUAAGUACCUGCAGGAAAGGACAUCAACCGAGACUCCGCAAGUAGUGGCGAGCGAACGCGGACCAGGCCAGUGGCAAUGAGGA